GAUGAACGCUGGCGGCGUGCCUAAUACAUGCAAGUCGGACGGAGCGCUUCGGCGCUCAGUGGCGAACGGGUGGGUAGCACAUGGGCAACCUGCCCUUCAGAGGGGGACAACAGCUGGAAAAGAACGCUAAUACCGCAUGACAUUCCUUUCUCGCAUGGGGAGGGAAUCAAAGGAGCAAUCCGCUGAGAGAUGGACUCGCGUCCGAUUAGCCAGUUGGCGGGGUAAUGGCCCACCAAAGCGACGAUCGGUAGCCGGACUGAGAGGUUGAACGGCCACAUUGGGACUGAGACACGGCCCAG
Molecule: ribosomal RNA, 299 nt
Filed under: uncultured bacterium
Lineage: Bacteria
Description: partial 16S ribosomal RNA
Rfam family: Bacterial small subunit ribosomal RNA
Source: RNAcentral